This 363-nucleotide ribosomal RNA is filed under the name Cavibelonia sp. 1 FSB-2019. Its description in RNAcentral is "partial large subunit ribosomal RNA". The record is from RNAcentral. Lineage: Eukaryota; Metazoa; Mollusca; Solenogastres; Cavibelonia.
GGAAAUUCCCUAAACGGCCGCAGAAUAUUAACUGUGCUAAGGUAGCAUAAUCAUUUGUCUCUUAAUUAGAGACUAGUAUGAACGGCUAAACGAAAUUUAACUGUCUUCUUUUAUAUUAAAUAAAAUUUAAUCUUAAAGUCAAAAAGCUUUAAUAUAAUAAAAAGACAAAAAGACCCCAUAGAGUUUAAUUUUAAUCUAAUUUUAAAAAUAAAAUUAUAAAAUUUAGUUGGGGCAACUAAGAAAAAAAGAAUUUUUCUAUAAAAAAAUAAAAUAAUCUAUCAUUAAAUUAAUAACACAAAACAAAUUACCUUGGGGAUAACAGCAUAAAUUUCUUUGAGAGCCCAAAUCGAAAAGAAAAAUUAU